GUCAUGGGCGUCCUGUGGGCUUAGUAGGCGUGUUGUUUGGGGCUUUAUGGCAUGCAUGUCUCAUUUAUGCUACGCCGUUGGGCGUCUACAAAAACAUGCUAGUGACGUUUGCGGGGCGGCUGAGGCGAAGGCAGGCGAACGUCAAGGGCGUCCUGUGGGCUUAGUAGGCAUGCUGUGUGGGCACUUGACAGCAUGCAUGGCUCGUCGGUGCUACGCUGUUGGGCGUUUACAAAAAACAUGCCCGCGACGUCUGCAGGGCGUUUUAGGCGGUGGCAGGCAAACGUCAUGGGCGUCCUUUGGGGUUAGUAGGCGUGCUGCGUGGGCGCUUGAAGGCAUGCAUGGCUUGUCCAUGCUACGCUGUUGGCCAUUUACAAAAACAUGUCCGCGACGUCUGCAGGGCGAUUGAGGCGGUGGCAGGCGGACGUCAUGGGCGUCCUUUGGGCUUAGUAGGUGUGCUACAUGGGCGCUUGACGACAUGCUUGGCUUGUCCGUGCUAUGCCGUUGGGUGUCAACAAAAACAUGCCAGCGACGUCUGCGGGGCAACUGAGGCGAAAGUAGGCGGACGUCAAGGGUGUGCUGAGGGCUUAGUAGGCGUGUUGUGUUGGCGCUUGACAACAUGGAUUGCUCGUCCGUGCUUCGCCGUUGGGCGCUUACAAAAACACGCUACCGAUGUCUGCGGGGAGACCGUGCUCCGCCGAGGGAACUUCUCAAGAUCGGUUUAUACUAGCGUUUGGUGUGGAAACGACAGUGCUUUCGGGCGAGUGGCGAGUUCUAGAUCUCCUGUUACAGCUAACUCUAGGCGUUGCACGCACGGCGCACGUAAGGCCAUAUACGGCCACAGGGCUGUCCAGAGACGUCGACGGGAGCCUCGGGAAGAGUUAUAUUUUAUGUUUAACAGCCUGCCCACCAUGGAAUCGGCUCAGCCAAAGGUAGGGUCCAGCUGCUGGAAGAGCACCGCACGUCGCGUGGUAUACAGUGUGCUCCGGGUGGCCCUUGAAAAUCUGGAGGACCGAAUGUCGUCCACGCCGGGUCGUACUCCUAACCGCAUUAGGUCUCCAAGGUGAACAACCUCUGGUCGAUGGAACAAUGUAGGAAAGGGAAGUCUGCAAAGUGGAUCCGUAACUUCGGGAAAAGGAUUUGCUCUGAGGGAUGGGCACGUGGAUCCCAGUCCCGAGCUGCUCCCGCGGCGAGAGCGGGUCACCGCGUGCGGGAUUGGGGACGGACAAGGAACGGUUCCUUCGGGGGCCUUCCCCGGGCAUCGAACAGCCAACUCAGAACUGGUACGGACAAGGGGAAUCGCACUCUUUAAUUAAAACAAAGCAUUGCGAUGGUCCCAACGGAUGUUUAUGCAAUGUGAUUUCUGCCCAGUGCUCUGAAUGUCAAAGUGAAGAAAUUCAACCAAGUGCGGCUAAACGGCAGGAGUAACUAUGACUCUCUUAAGGUAGCCAAAUGCCUCGUCAUCUUAUUAUUGACGCGCAUGAAUGGAUUAACGAGAUUCCCUCUGUGCCUGUCUACUAUCCAGCGAAACCACAACCAAUAGAAUGGGCUUAGCAGAAUCAGCGGGGAAAGAAGACCCUUUUGAGCUUGACUCUAGUCCGACUUUGUCAAAUGACUUGAGAGGUGUAGUAUAAGUGGGAGCCGAAAGGCGUAAGUGAAAUACCACUACUUUUAAUGUUAUUUUACUUAUUCCGUGAAUCAGAAGCGUGGCACAACCCCUCUUUUUGGACCCAAGCCUCGCUUUGCGGGCCGAUCCGGGAAGAGACAUUGUCAGGUGGGGAGUUUUGCUAGGGCAGCAUAUCUGUUAAAAGAUAACGCAGGUGUCCUAAGAUGAGCUCAACAAGAAAAGAAAUCUCGUGUGUAAGAGAAAGGUAAAAGCUCGUUUGAUUCUGAUUUCCAGUACGAAUACGAAUCGUGAAAGCGUGGCCUAACGAUCCUUUAGACCUUUGGAAUUCGAAGCUAGAGCUUUCAGAAAAGUUACCACAGGGAUAAUUGGCUUGUGGCAGCCAAGCGUUAACAGCGACGUUGCUUUUUCAUCCUUCGAUGUCGGCUCUUUUGGUCACUGUGAAGCAUAAUUCACCAAAUGUUUGAUUGUUCACCCACCAAUAGGGAACGUGAGCUGGGUUUAGACCGUCGUGAGACAGGAUAGUUUUACCUUUGAAAAGCCAGUGGCGCGAAGCUACCGUGUGCUGGAUUAUGACUGAACGCCUCUAAAUCAGAAUGCGGACUAGAAGCGACGCAUGCGCCCGCCGUCCGCUUGCGGACCCGCAUUAGGGGCCUAUGGCCCCCAAGGGCACGUGUCGUUUUCUAAGUCGCCGCAACAUAAGCGUCGCGGUGACCGCCUUGAAGUACAAUUUCCAUGGAGCAGCGGAUAGAAUCCUUUGCAGAUGACAUAAAUACGCGACGGGGUAUUGUAAGUGGCAUAGUGGCCUUACUGCCACGAUCCACUGAGAUUCAGCCCUUUGCCGCUCCUAUUCGU
RNAcentral lists this ribosomal RNA (2476 nucleotides) under Solanum lycopersicum (tomato). Its description in RNAcentral is "bacterial LSU rRNA". The stretch from base 704 to 2476 matches the Rfam family "Eukaryotic large subunit ribosomal RNA". Lineage: Eukaryota; Viridiplantae; Streptophyta; Magnoliopsida; Solanales; Solanaceae. The record is from RNAcentral.